GCUCAGCGCUGUGACUGACGGACAGCCUCCGAACCCGGGCGGGACAGGAUCCCGACGUCGGGAUCCGCAGAGGUGCGCUUAGGUUUGGCGAGGGCUGAGGUCACUGAGAGACCUCUUGGAGGAACGAGUACGCACGCUGGCGAAGCUGAGGAGAAUUUACCGUGGUGGUACGAGGGAUAUUUUGAAUGAACGGGAGCUGCCUGUCCCAGCAGCCAGCUGUGAGCCAAGAAGCCCCAGAGCCAUGAGAGGGAACCAGAUUUGGUGGAUACAAAUGCAACCAGAGCCAAUUUAAAAACAAGUCACGAGCUUCAACAGAUGAUGCCCAUUUUACAUUAUUGUCAAGUGAGACAAACCAUCUCAUGGACACCAACC
Molecule: long non-coding RNA, 372 nt
Organism: Heterocephalus glaber (naked mole-rat)
Lineage: Eukaryota; Metazoa; Chordata; Mammalia; Rodentia; Bathyergidae
Source: Ensembl